This 30-nucleotide non-coding RNA is filed under the name Rattus norvegicus (Norway rat). The record is from RNAcentral. Lineage: Eukaryota; Metazoa; Chordata; Mammalia; Rodentia; Muridae.
UGUGUCACUGCUUGGCUAGUUUCCAAAUGC